UAAUACGUAGGGGGCAAGCGUUGUCCGGAUUUACUGGGCGUAAAGAGCGCGUAGGCGGACUGUUAAGCGGGGCCGGAAAGCCCCCGGCUCAACCGGGGAAGGGGCCGCGAACUGGCAGUCUUGAGGGGGAGAGGGGAGAGCGGAAUUCCUGGUGUAGCGGUGAAAUGCGUAGAGAUCAGGAGGAACACCAAUGGCGAAGGCAGCUCUCUGGCUUCACCCUGACGCUGAGGCGCGAAAGCGUGGGGAGCGAACGGGAUUAGAUACCCCGGUAGUCCACGCCGUAAACGAUGAUCACUAGGCGUUGGUGGUAUCGACCCCACCAGUGCCGCAGCUAACGCAAUAAGUGAUCCGCCUGGGGAGUACGGCCGCAAGGUUG
RNAcentral lists this ribosomal RNA (376 nucleotides) under uncultured bacterium. Its description in RNAcentral is "bacterial SSU rRNA". It matches the Rfam family "Bacterial small subunit ribosomal RNA", at positions 521 to 896 of the family's 1533-position model. The record is from RNAcentral.